Myxocyprinus asiaticus (Chinese sucker) is the source of this 1788-nucleotide long non-coding RNA. RefSeq lists it as uncharacterized. The transcript has 3 exons. Lineage: Eukaryota; Metazoa; Chordata; Actinopteri; Cypriniformes; Catostomidae. The record is from RefSeq and is a predicted model, not a curated record.
UCUACCUGCCAGUUCAGAGACUGUUUGUGCUUCCCCUUCCCUCUCUCUCGUAUGUGCACACUAGCACAGAGGGAUAGAGGAACGAUCCAUAGCUAUCAACAGGCCAAUGCAAGUGCAACCCCAAGCUCUCUCCCGCCAGCCAUCAGCAUGCACACUUCACCUUAAAGCUCAUUUACAAAGUGGCAGCUUCAUAGGCAGAAACUUGGCCUUCAAUGAUGCACCCUGUUACCCUGGCCCAGCUUGUCCUGGGAUGUGUUGAUUCCCGACCUGCGUCUUAAUGAGUUGUCUUGAGCGCCCCUAAUGUGAGGUGAAUGGAGAUGUCUGCAGGCUCUCACUUUGGCCCUAAUGAAACACAAGACAUGACAAAGUAAUUGCAGGAGGCCAAUGAAGAGUGCCACUAUUUGUCGUCCUGACGGAAACAGCUGUUGCCAACAAUGGUGCCAAGCAACAGAAUUGACAGAAAACCUCAUAGUGGUGGCCAUGGCCGUGUGCUGACCGACCAGCAGGAGUGGGCAGUGGUGUAAAUGGUGAGGGGCAGGAAUGAUAUAAGGCUGUUGGAAAUAAAGCAGGCAUUUGAGAAGAACAAUGACACCUUUGCCAAUGUGGCAUCCAUCAGCCUACCAACAGUAGCCCGCCUUUUGAAAAGACAACAGGUAUCAAUGAAACACAUUUACCUGGUACCUUUUGUGAGAAACAAUGACCAGGUGAAACAACUGAGGGCUGAGUAUGUUCAGGUACAGCACUAUAUACUGUAUUACUGUUACUAUUUGAUGCAUCGCCUACUUCAUAUGUAUAUUGGAACUACACUGUAAAAAGAACUAACCAAAAUAUAUUUUUUAGAGGGUGAUGGUGCUUGAUGCUGAUGUGAACCAUCACAAGUAAAUUUUUGUUGAUGAAGUGGGCUUUAACCUGGCCAAAACUCGUCGCCGUGGACGGAAACUCAUCGGCCAACGGGCCACUGUCCAAGUGCCUGGACAACAUGGAGGAAACAUCUCCAUGUGCGCAGCUAUCUCUGAAGAUGGUGUGGUAAGACGUAGGCCAUUACUUGGCUCCUACAACGCUGCACAUCUCAUUGAGUUGCUCAAUGAAUUUGAGCCAGCCAGUCAAGGUGAAGGGGUCACCUAUGUAAUUGUGUGGGACAGUGUCAGGUUCCACCAUGCAGAGGUGGUUCAAGCAUGGUUUCAGGCCCAUCCCCGAUUCAUGACCCUCUACCUGCCCCCAUACUCUCCUUUCCUCAACCCUAUUGAGGAAUUUUUUUCAGCAUGGAGGUGGAAGGUCUAUUAUCACCAACCCCUUGAGCACGCCACCCUCCUUCAGGCCAUGGAUGUGGCAUGUGAUGACAUCAGUGUAGACCAAUGUCAAGCAUGGAUUCGCCAUGUCAAAAAGUUUUUCCCAAGGUGCAUGAACAAUGAUGACAUUCAUUGUGAUGUGGACGAGAAUCUAUGGCCAAAUGCUCAAGACAGGCUUGAUCCAAAUUAAUGUAAUGUGUGCUAAAUGUUAUGUUUUGUUUUCAUUUACUUAAUUUGUUUUAUUUAACUGUGUACAUUUGAUUAUAGAGAGUAUACCUAUGUUACAAUUUGUAUCUGAAAAACACAAUUUGCCCAAAUGAUUGAAGAGGAUGUCUUCAUUGAUCACAACUUGAUUACUCAUAGGAUAGAUAUUAUGGAAAUGAUAGAUUCUGUAAAUGCUGGGUAAUGUAAGUGUAUUGCCUAAUGUGACAACUGUGUAAUCUGUCUUUUACAGUACUGUAGCAUAUUACUUUCAGCACUUCUAAGAGCGAUUUGAAAC